Molecule: non-coding RNA, 73 nt
Organism: Podarcis lilfordi (Lilford's wall lizard)
Lineage: Eukaryota; Metazoa; Chordata; Lepidosauria; Squamata; Lacertidae
Source: the annotation of a GenBank genome assembly
UUAAUAGCUCAGUCGGUAGAACACGAGUCUCUUUAUCUCAGGGUUGUGGGUUUGACUCCCAUGCUGGGCAAAA